RNAcentral lists this ribosomal RNA (460 nucleotides) under uncultured bacterium. RNAcentral describes it as "partial 16S ribosomal RNA". It matches the Rfam family "Bacterial small subunit ribosomal RNA", at positions 338 to 795 of the family's 1533-position model. The record is from RNAcentral.
CCUACGGGAGGCAGCAGUGAGGAAUAUUGGUCAAUGGGCGUAAGCCUGAACCAGCCAAGUCGCGUGAGGGAUGAAGGUUCUAUGGAUCGUAAACCUCUUUUAUAAGGGAAUAAAGUGUGGGACGUGUCCUGUUUUGUAUGUACCUUAUGAAUAAGGAUCGGCUAACUCCGUGCCAGCAGCCGCGGUAAUACGGAGGAUCCGAGCGUUAUCCGGUUUUAUUGGGUUUAAAGGGUGCGUAGGCGGCCUUUUAAGUCAGCGGUGAAAGUCUGUGGCUCAACCCUAGAAUUGCCGUUGAAACUGGGAGGCUUGAGUAUGUUUGAGGAAGGCGGAAUGCGUGGUGUAGCGGUGAAAUGCUUAGAUAUCACGCAGAACCCCGAUUGCGAAGGCAGCCUGCCAAGCCAUGACUGACGCUGAUGCACGAAAGCGUGGGGAUCAAACAGGAUUAGAUACCCCAGUAGUC